Non-coding RNA from Pelobates cultripes (western spadefoot toad), 184 nucleotides. The record is from the annotation of a GenBank genome assembly. Lineage: Eukaryota; Metazoa; Chordata; Amphibia; Anura; Pelobatidae.
CAUGGCAGAGGUUUAUGGGCUAAGUCAGGGCUGUCCAAACUGCGGUCCCCCAGAUGUUGCUGAAAUACACCUCCCAUGAUUCCCUGGCUAUCUGUUUCAUUGAAAGAAUCAUGGGAGUUGUAGUUCAGCAACAUGUGGGGGGGCCGCAGGUUGGACAGCCCUGGGCUAAGUGGUCUCAGCCAUG